CCUACGGGAGGCAGCAGUAGGGAAUUUUGCGCAAUGGGCGAGAGCCUGACGCAGCAACGCCGCGUGAGUGAUGAAGGCCUUCGGGUCGUAAAGCUCUGUCAGAGGGAAAGAACAACUUGGCGGUUAAUAACCGCCAGGCCUGACGGUACCCUCAAAGGAAGCACCGGCUAACUCCGUGCCAGCAGCCGCGGUAAU
RNAcentral lists this ribosomal RNA (195 nucleotides) under uncultured bacterium. RNAcentral's name for it is "partial 16S ribosomal RNA". It matches the Rfam family "Bacterial small subunit ribosomal RNA", at positions 338 to 524 of the family's 1533-position model. The record is from RNAcentral.